UGAGAAGGCCGGACGGCCGCGGCGGGUUCGCCUGCUGAGGAAAGUCCGGACUCCACAGGGCAGCGGAGUGGGUAACGCCCACCCCCUGAACGGUUCGUCGAGAGGCGGGUCGGGAGGGGAGGAUCAGAGCCACAGAGACGAGGAUCCCCGUCGUUGGGGGUUCGCGGAAGCGAACCGGGCGGGGGGAGGUGAAACGGGCAAUCUCUCCGCGGAGCAAGACCAUGUAGACCCCGAACGGGACGGCCCGUCCCAUUCCGUUGGGCAACCGGCGGGAGCGGGGAGGGUAGGUCGCAAUGAGUCCGCGCGGCAACGCCCGGGCCCAGAGGAAUGGUCGUCGCCCGCCGGCCUGUCGCGCAAGCGGCGGGGCAGGGCGGGCACAGAAUCCGGCUUACAGGCCUUCUCCAAUC
This 407-nucleotide RNase P RNA is filed under the name Candidatus Omnitrophica bacterium CG11_big_fil_rev_8_21_14_0_20_64_10. RNAcentral's name for it is "RNase P RNA component class A". It matches the Rfam family "Bacterial RNase P class A". From Rfam's summary of the family: Ribonuclease P (RNase P) is a ubiquitous endoribonuclease, found in archaea, bacteria and eukarya as well as chloroplasts and mitochondria. Its best characterised activity is the generation of mature 5'-ends of tRNAs by cleaving the 5'-leader elements of precursor-tRNAs. The record is from RNAcentral. Lineage: Bacteria; Pseudomonadati; Candidatus Omnitrophota.